Molecule: ribosomal RNA, 253 nt
Filed under: uncultured bacterium
Lineage: Bacteria
Description: partial 16S ribosomal RNA
Rfam family: Bacterial small subunit ribosomal RNA
Source: RNAcentral
UACGGAGGGUGCAAGCGUUAUCCGGAUUCACUGGGUUUAAAGGGUGCGUAGGCGGCCUAUUAAGUCAGUGCUGAAAUAUCCCGGCUUAACCGGGAGGGUGGCAUUGAUACUGAUGGGCUUGAGUAAAGUUGAGGUAGGCGGAAUUGACGGUGUAGCGGUGAAAUGCUUAGAUAUCGUCAAGAACACCUAUUGCGAAGGCAGCUUACUAAGCUUUAACUGACGCUGAUGCCCGAAAGUGUGGGGAUCAAACAGG